CCUACGGGUGGCAGCAGUGAGGAAUAUUGGUCAAUGGGCGCGAGCCUGAACCAGCCAAGUCGCGUGAGGGAAGACGGUCCUAUGGAUUGUAAACCUCUUUUGUCGGGGCGCAAAAGACGCCACGCGUGGCGUUCCGAGCGUACCCGAAGAACAAGCAUCGGCUAACUCCGUGCCAGCGGCGGCGGUAAUACGGAGGAUGCGAGCGUUAUCCGGAUUUAUUGGGUUUAAAGGGUGCGUAGGCGGAAUAUCAAGUCAGCGGGAAAAAUUCGGGGCUCAACCCCGUCGUGCCGUUGAAACUGAUGUUCUUGAGUGGGGGAGAGGCAGGCGGAAUGCGUGGUGUAGCGGUGAAAUGCAUAGAUA
RNAcentral lists this ribosomal RNA (360 nucleotides) under uncultured bacterium. Its description in RNAcentral is "partial 16S ribosomal RNA". It matches the Rfam family "Bacterial small subunit ribosomal RNA", at positions 338 to 696 of the family's 1533-position model. The record is from RNAcentral.